This is a long non-coding RNA of Monomorium pharaonis (pharaoh ant), 3839 nucleotides long. RefSeq lists it as uncharacterized. Lineage: Eukaryota; Metazoa; Arthropoda; Insecta; Hymenoptera; Formicidae. The transcript has 2 exons. The record is from RefSeq and is a predicted model, not a curated record.
UAUAAAUUACAAUUAUUAACUUUAAGUUAACAAACAUAUUGAAAUACAAAAAGUAAAUAAAUUAUAUAUUUUUUUUAAGCAAGUAUCAUUACAAUAGUUUUUUCUUGUAAGUAUUAAACUUGGACUAUUUAAAACUAAAAGAUUUUUUUAAUGCACAUAUAAAUGGGUUGUAAAUUUUUUAUUACACAUGCAUUUUACCAAUUGUCUUAAAUUCAAAAUACAAAAAAAUAAUCGUUUUCAGUCAUAUAUUUGUACAAAUGUAUUCCUAAACAAAAAGAUUAUAUAAUAAUAUUUUUUCAAAUUUUUUAUAGCCAAAAACUUCAAAAGAUACAACCGUCCCGUAAUUCAGAUAGUUUGACAAAAAUACAGUGAAAACAAUGUAGUUUACAGAAGGUGAAUUUCCCGUUUUAGAUUAGUCCAAAACUGAGCGUCGCGUGCUAAAAAAACAGCUAGGAAUGAGAAAGUAAUAGACAUAAACAUAGAUACAAUUUAAAACCAAAACUAUAAAUCCGAUGGAGAAUGUAUUAUAAAUGUAUCAUAAAUAAAUUUAAAAAUAUAAAUUUUUUUACUUUAAACGUUUGAAAAUUAUUUUAUAUUUAAAUAAUGUCUCAGUUUAAAAUUAUAUAAAUAAAAAUAAGAGCAUUUAUAUAAAAAAAUCACUCAAAUAUGAUGUUAAUUUAGUUACAAGUUAGGUAUUAAGAGUAGAGAAAAAAGAAGACGGUUAUGGCCUAGAUGUUGGAAUAUAGAACUCAUAAUAUCUCAGAUACUUUAUAUUAAAUUAUAGAGAAAACUGUCCAAAUUAGUUCUUUACCCAGACGCACAUGCAUUUAAUGGAUGUCCAAUUUUGACUUUUAUUUUAUUCAAAUGUUCAUAGAUGUAAUACAAAUGAUUUAAAAAUAUACAUUAUUGGACGUUCAAAAUAUAUUCAUACUUAAAUAUUUUAAAAAUUAUUUUACGUAUGAUUGAAAAUUCUCAUCCAAAAUAAUUCUUAUAUAAAAUAAUUAUCAAUCUUUUUUAUAUGUAAUAGAAAAAUAAUAAAAUCAAAUCUGAAUGGAUCCAAAAAUAGUGAUCAAAAAAUAAUAGUUAAAUUAUAUCAAUUGUUUUUCGAUUUAUAUUUAUAUUUAUACUUUGUAUGAAUGCUUAUUUCAGUGCAAAAAUUGUAGAUGCAUGCAAUGCGGUUUUCAAAAACGCUUUGUUUUAUGUGCGUUGAGUAUAACUUUACAACAGUAAAGGGCCUGUGUGAAGCCAGUAAAGGUCCAUCUACAAUAAGGAGUUUUAGGACGUAACAGUAGGCUGUAAGGAACUUACUUCCAGUUUAGAAAGUCGUAGCAGUAGCCGUAAGCGAAAUGAAUUAUUUUCAUUUCGCUACUGUUUACGGCCUACGGCAUGCGUCGUGUCUUGCAGGAGAAAAGGCAAAAGGCACAGUCAAAAUAAAAGGCACAGUCUAUUUUUUUAUAUCCAUAUUAUUUACACUUUCAUCACGAAAACCGAUUAAAUUAGGCUCAUUCGACGCGUUUUUGCGCAUGCUUAAAGUGCGCGAAUUAUCUUAUUGCUGCCAGUAUUAUUGCAUUAUUGUGGAUAGAUAAAGUUGUAGAAAUUAUGCUACUGCAUAUGUCCUACUAUUUUACUGCCUACUGCCAGUCCUAUUAUAGACGACAUAGGUAUUUAUGAGACACAUCUUAAGACGUUUUUAAGACGUCUUUAAGAUGUGUCUCAUAAAUACCUAUGUUUGGGUAAGUGCUAAAAUCAUAAGAAGAAAGACGUUCUAUUUGUAAAAAUAAUCUAAAAAUUAUAAAUAAGAAAAAUAUGUAUUAAAAUAUAUAACAGAUAAUUGCCAAACUUUCUUGUACUUGUAAUGUGUCAUAUUGUUUUUCAUUACAGCAUAUUAUGAAUACUAAGAAUCAUAUUCAGAACACUUUAUUAAUAAAUAUGGAUAUUUAUUCCUAAAAUUCUAUAAUAUAAAUAACAUAAGUUAUAUGCUAAUACGUGUAUUUAUAUAUAUCAGGAAAAGCGCAUUUUUAAAUUAAGAUUAUCUAAAUUCCUCAUUUUCAUUGCACAUUCUUGUAGUUAACAUUGAAAUCUCAAGCAAAGAUGACACACGCACACGCACACACGCGUAAAAAACCUUUGCAAAAAUUUAAAUUAAAUUAAAAAUUCAGUAUCCAUCUUAAUUUUGAAUACAAUUUUAUCUAUUUACCCGUGAUUAUUUACUUUAAUUUUAAUAUUCUUACGUUAAUUAAAAAGUCUGCUAAAUGUUUAAUUUGAUUAAAAUUGUAAUCUGACAGUGAAAAUGUUAUCUUAUUAAGGAAUAUGAUUAGUUUCACUAUAUACCCGUUUAUGAGAAAAAGAGAGAAAGAGAGAGAGAGAGAGAGAGAGAGAGAGAGAGAGAGAGAGAGAGAGAGAGAACGCUUAGAAUUUAAAAACUUUUUGUAAAAAUAUUUAAAUUGAAUUAAAAUAUCUAACAAAGAUAAUUAUAAAUACAAUGUUAUCUACUUAAUUAUUACGUAAUGAUUUUACUCUUAUAAGUAUUUUCAAAAUAAAUGUAACAUCAUUGUUUAAUAUUCGUUUUAUAACUUGUUUUAUUUUGUAAAAAAAUACAGACUGAUUAUGUUAUUCAAACCUUUUAAUUACACAAGUUAAAAUGUAUAAAAUUAAUUUAAUCUUCCUGAAUAAAAUUCUCCGGAAUUUCUUUUAAUCGUGUCUCACAUCUUCCAGAAUAAGGGUACAUUUUGAUAAUUGUUUUUCUAAAACAUAAACUAUUCAUAGAAUUAGUACUUUUUAAUUUUAUUAAGUGUGUGUGUGUGUGUGUGUGUGUGUGUGUGUGUGUGUGUGUGUGUGUGUGUGUGUGUGUGUGUGUGUGUGUGUAAUAAAAUGUGGUGAUUGUGAGAGUGGAAUUUAAUGUCUGCUCUGUGUACUAUCCAGAUUCAAGUCGACUCAGAACAUAUCAGAUUUUUAAUUGAUUAAUACUUCUCAAAAAGCAAUAAUAAAUCACUCAGAGACCUUUGCCAAGACAAUCACAUGAAGCAUACAUGAAUAUGCGUCAAAUGAAGAUGUUAUUCAGUCAUAAAAGACCAACUUAAAAAAGGUAUGAUAAAAUAUAUUUUGAUGUUCUUAUUUUUUAUCUUUUUUAUCAACAUAUAUAUUUGCAUAAAUAUUUAGAUUGUUAAGACUAAUUUAGUUAUGAAAUACUCCAUAAAUAUUUUUUUUGUACUUAAACAUCUCUUAAUUCAUUCCUGUAAUAUAAUGAAAAUAUUUUAAAUGUUCCUAAAAUAUUUAAAUUGAUUUCAUCUUCUUAUCCUAUAUAAAUUCAUAUCAUGUUCUCCAAUAUGUUUCCAAAAUAUUCUAAUAUUUUUUACAAAUAUUUAUAGAAUAUUCAUAAAAAGUGUUUGUGUUAUCUUUAUAUAUAAAUAUACAUACGUGCGCAUGUAUUAAAUAAUUAUGAGUUACAAAUAUACGAUAUUAGCACGCUCCGCGUAAGUAUGUGUGAAUAUGUGGGUGUGUUUACAUAUUAAAGUUAUGAAAAUGUACCAUGCGACACAAUCACAUAUACACAUGAUAGUGAAGAGCGGGGCUCAUUAACAUAAUUUCAAUAUUUGAUAUUUUUAAGCAUCAUUUUUUAUUAUAAUUAUUGUAAUUAUAUUAAACUAUGUAUCAGAAGAAAUUUUUCCCUAUAUUUACGUAUCGGAAACGAUUUUGUAUGAUAUAAUUUCUUUGUAAUAAAUAGAAUACAAACGCUACAUGGCUAGCCUUGAACUAACUAGCCUCGAUAGCAAAUUAAUAUAAGUUAUGACGUAAGUUUUGCCUAUAUAUAUGAUAAAUUCAUAUUAAAUUAUAAAAAA